AAGACGGACGCCAUUGAAGUUCAGCAUGGAAUAGUAAAAGGGUUGGCAAAAUGCUCAUCAAGGUCCAGUACCGUGGACUAAAAAAGUACCUCAAACUGCAGCCUGGUUUUUCUUAUGAAAGUUUCAUUGAAGAAGAAUUUGUGCCAGCAGGUUCUUCUACUCUAAAUUCUUCACUUUUCUGAAGUGAUAUGGAGAGGUCCUCUUCAAACAAAG
This is a long non-coding RNA of Alosa alosa (allis shad), 213 nucleotides long. RefSeq lists it as uncharacterized. Lineage: Eukaryota; Metazoa; Chordata; Actinopteri; Clupeiformes; Clupeidae. The transcript is spliced from 3 exons. The record is from RefSeq and is a predicted model, not a curated record.